Molecule: long non-coding RNA, 2855 nt
Filed under: Canis lupus familiaris (dog)
Lineage: Eukaryota; Metazoa; Chordata; Mammalia; Carnivora; Canidae
Description: lncRNA (ENSCAFG00845021123.1)
Source: RNAcentral
UUUUUUUUUUUUUUUUCUGUCUCAAAUUUCUCAGAUGAAAGCGAACUGAGUUGCUGUGGACCAAAAUCUCCUACAGAGAAACCAAAUCAUAAGAACAAAAGUAUAAGACUGACCCUUAAAAUUAAUGACAUAAAGACAUGGAGAGCAAAGAAGCAUAGAACCUUGUUAGCAAAAUCUUUUAUUUUGUUUACAUACCAAAUGUAACAAAAUUCAUAAGCCAGAAAAUUUGAUAACAUGAAAGCGAGAAACUAAGCUGGACCAUUUAGCAAAACUAAGGGAACACGUUCAUUUAAAAUAAAUCAAAACCCAUUUCUUUUUACCCCAUCGAUUGUGAUUAAGCAGAUCUAUCAUAUUUCAGUUGCAAAAGGCAGAGGACUCAAGCUGAAGAGGUGCCUGCUGAUUUUUGUUGCUUUGGUAAGAUCUUUCACCUAUAAGGGACAUACAAAGAAAAGGUUUGAAUUGUCUCAAUCUACAUUUUUAUUUUCAAUGAACUUUAAAUUUUAGAAUCAUUUCAGGUUUACAAAAAAGUUGCAAAGGUAGUACAGAGAGUUCUUAUACACCCUGCACUGAUUUCCCUACCAGUUAACAUCUUACUAAGAUAGGUUUGUUACAAUGGAGCCAAUGUUGAUACAGAAUAUCAUUAAUCAAAGAAUAUACUUUAGUUAGAUUUCUCAGUUUUUACCUAAUGUCCUUUUUUUCUGUUCCAGGAUCCCAUCCAGUCUAGGACAUUACAUUUAGUCAUCAUGUUUCCAUAGGUUCCUCUACACUGUGACUGUUUCUCAGACUUUCCUUAUUUGUGAUGACCUUGACAGUUUUGUCAACUACUACUGGUCAGGUGUUUUGCAGAAUACCUAUGCUUUAGUUUAGAUUUGUCUAAUGUUUUUCUCCUGGUCAGACUGGAGUUAUGGGGUCUUAAGGGGAAGAUCACAAAGGUACAGUGUCAUUCUCAUCACAUCAUUUCAGGGGUACAUGCUAUUAACAUGACAUCACUGGUUCCAGUGUUCACAACUGGGAGCUUUUUCAGUUGGGUCCUAUGUCCCUUUCUUUCAACCUAUUUAUUUUUUAAUUAAUUAAUUUAUUUGAGAAAGAGACAGAGCACAAGUGGGAAAAGGACAGAGAGACUCCUCCACUGAGCAGGGUAAACUGACACAGGGCUCAAUCCCAGGACCCCAUGAUUAUGACCUGAGCUGAAGUCAGAUGCUUAACUGACUGAGCCACCCAGGCACCCCUCAACCUAUUUUUUUAAAACAUAAAUCAUGUUAUUUAUUGAUCUUUGUCUCUUGAUUCUCCCAUUUCAGGUAUUUGUAGAUCUAAAGUUUCACAGUUGAUGAAUAAUGCAGGGUUCAAAGUAAUGAGCCAGAGUCAGGAUCACCAAGGCAUUUUUACCUCAAACCAAUUCAAAGGUUCAGGAAGAUUAUUUCUCUGAGGCUAAAGAAAAAAAGUUCAGAUGUCAGGAUUCAUUAUGGAUAUGUGAGUAUAGAUUUCAUCUGACCUGUGUUGUGUAUUUAUUUAAAUGGUGUUGAGCUAGUCUUUGCUUCUGACUGCAUUGUACCUUUGCUUCUGCAUCUUUGCUUCUGACCUCAUCCUGUCCAGUCUGUGCUAUAAACCACUAUUUGAUUAAUUCUUCUAAAGUAUAGUUCUAUGUUACUCCCUUACAUAAAGCCUAUAAUAACUCCCACUGCUUUCCAAAUAAAAGACCAAGUCAUUAGCCUAGUUUCAUUGUAUUGUGUACCCCAACUCACUUUUAAAGUCUUUUCUUGUGAUUUUCCUACUUAUAUGUUCCUGCCAAGUUGGAUGGACCUAAGCUCAUAAAGAUGUUUUUCCUUUCUUUGCUUCUAUUUUUUCACUAACUUUGCUGAUUAGAAGCAAUAUCAAUUUCUAUUAAUAACAGUCACAUCUUAUGUCAGAGAUCUUAUGUUUGCCCCCAUCUGAUCCAUUUCCAUCCUUGUCUGCACUGCUGUGUGUCCUGGGAGGCUGACCUGUUGUAGACUACAGCAACACUCUCCUGCCCUCUGCCAACCAGUGGGUUCAAACAGUGGGAAGCCUAGAAGGACCUCAGAAAGUGAGAUCCAGGUACUUUUCCUCUUGCCUACUUCCUGUUGAGAGGUUACCAUUCCUCUCAGGGCAGCCUUCUCCUCAUAGCUCACUCCUUUGGGAUUCGGUAACUCCUGAGGCCUAGGGGUGGUAAAGUGGUUACAGUUUAAAUGUUGUCAGCCUAGGCUCUGGGACCAUCCCUUGUCAUUUCCCUAGACCUCCCACCGACACCUGUAUUGUAAGUGGUCUUCAUUAAAUCUUUGUAUUAUUACAAUUUGAGUGCCAUCUAUUUCCUAUUGUGACCUUAAUACUCAUGUCCUCUUUAGAAUUAAAAAAACACUCUUUCAAGAACCUUUCAUUUACACAUCUAACAGAAAAUGAUCUUUUCUUCCUCUGAACAUAAAAUAACACUUGGUCCAAAGGCAUUAGACAAACUCAUCAUUUUAUUUAAAAGCUGUCUAAUCUCCUCUUUCAGAGUAUAAAGUCUCUAAAUGCAAGAGGGCUAGCUUAUUUAUUUUUGUUCCCCACAGCACCUAGCAUUGUCCUGCAUAGGACUAGGUACUUUGAUACAUUAUUUGCCAAAUAAAUGACACUUUAAAACAUAUCAUCCAUGAGUUAUACUUGUUAACCUAUACAGAGUUCUCAUUCACUUGAGAAAGGAAAUAGGAUAUUACAAAGAAUGGAAAAAUAAUGCUUCCUUCCCAUACUCACAAUACAUUCUAUAAGAGACUGACAAAAUCAUGUUUGUUUCUAUUUAAUAGCUAAUUCUGAGAAUACUGGAAAAAUUAAUUGGAAAUGAUUUGAUUGAUUUUCAGAAGUUC